GUUUGAGCCCAGGAGGUCGAGGCUGCAGUAACCUAUGAUUUUGCCACUGCACUCCAGCCUGGGCGACACAGCAAGACCCUGUCUUAGAAAAUAAAAUAUAUAUAAUAUUUCAUAUUGCUGCCAUUGUAGCACAAAAAAAUGCCAUAAACAACACAUAAAUUGCCAUGGUUGUGUGUUAAUAAAACUUUACUGAGAAACACAGGCAGUGGGCCACAUUUGGUCUGCCAGCC
RNAcentral lists this long non-coding RNA (230 nucleotides) under Pan troglodytes (chimpanzee). RNAcentral's name for it is "long non-coding RNA NONPTRT014547". Lineage: Eukaryota; Metazoa; Chordata; Mammalia; Primates; Hominidae. The record is from RNAcentral.